RNAcentral lists this long non-coding RNA (1379 nucleotides) under Macaca fascicularis (crab-eating macaque). Its description in RNAcentral is "lncRNA (ENSMFAG00000055132.1)". The record is from RNAcentral. Lineage: Eukaryota; Metazoa; Chordata; Mammalia; Primates; Cercopithecidae.
GCUCAAAAGCCAAGAAAAGAAAUCAGCCUAUCUGUCCAUCCACAGAUGAAGGGAUGAAGAAUCUCUGGUACACAGACAGGAUGGAAUACUUUUAUGCCAUCAAAAUUCAUGGAAUCCUAUCAUUUCCAGCAACAUGGCUGCACCUGCAGAUAUUCUGUUCAAUCACAUCAGAAAGGCAGACAAAGACCAAGCCCGCAUGUUCUCACUCAUGUGGGAGCUGAAAACUUUAACUCACUGAAGGUGAAAAUACAGUAGUGGUCACCACAGACUAGGUGGAGGACAGGACCUCAAGGAUUGGCAAUAGGUACACAGAGAGUUACAGGAGAGGAAUACAUUCUGGUAUUCCACUCCAAAGCAGGGCGAUGAUACUUAACAAUAUGGUUAUGCCAUUUUCAAAGUAGCUACCAAGGAGGAUACUGAAUGUUCACACAUCGAAGAUAUCAAACUUACACGUGGUCACAAGCAUGGGAAACUCCCUGAUUUUAUCCAUACUCAAGGUAUACAAACAAGUAUCACAAUGUCCCAAUGCACCCCUAAUUCUGGACAUGAAGUGUAAAACAAACGUUUUAUGAAAUGUUAACAAUACACGGCUAAAUGUUCACAUGGAUCCACUGAAGACCCAAGGAACCUGAAUAUGCAAAGCAAUUCUAGGGAAUACAAACUCAACUGGAGGCCACACACUCCCCAAUUUCAAAUUACAUGUAACACCUCCACUCAUCCAAAGACUACAGUAGUGGCAUAAAAAUGAAUCCAUCAACCUAGGGACUUAAGAGAAUCUAAACACAUACCUGCAGUCAACACAUUCUUUUUCAAAGAAUGCCUAGAAGAUGCAAUGAGGCCAUGUGCUGUGGCUCACACCAGUACUUCCAGCAGUUUCAGAGACCGAGUUGGGUGGACCUCUUGAGGUCAGGAGUUUCAGACCAGCUUGGCCAAAAUGGUGAAAUCCUAUCUCUAGUAAAAAUACAAAAGAUAUUAGUCAGGUGUGGUGGUGCACAGCAGCAAUCCCAGCCACUUGGGAAGAUGAGGCAGGAGAAUCACUCGAAGCAAGGAGGCGGAGGUGGCAGAGAGCUGAGAUCUCACCACUGCACUCCAGUCUGGGUGACAGCAUGAGUGGGACUGUGUCCCCAAGGGGAAAAAGGAUGAGAUGAGGAGUCAGCAGUCUGUUCAAUUGAGCAGUCUGAAAUGACUGGAUAGCCACAUACAAAAGAAUGAAAUAAGACGUUGACGUUAUACAAUACACAAACACAAACUCGAAAUACAUUAAACCCUAAACACAAGACCUAAAAGCAUAAUACUGCUGCAGGAAAACACAGAGUGAGCUUAAGUGAGGAAAACCUGAAUCUAAGCUCACAGGAUAUAAAAGCAAACAACAGACAAAA